Anolis carolinensis (green anole) is the source of this 399-nucleotide long non-coding RNA. RefSeq lists it as uncharacterized. The record is from RefSeq and is a predicted model, not a curated record. The transcript is spliced from 2 exons. NCBI's taxonomy places the organism in Eukaryota, Metazoa, Chordata, Lepidosauria, Squamata, Anolidae.
UUGAAGCAUGACUCAGCCCAAAAUGAAUAUCUUUCCAAGGGUGCUGGAUUCUUCCCAUUCAAAUCAACAGGAUUUGAAGGUGCUUCACUCCGGUGCCAUAGCUCCCGGACAGAAAACGAGCAUCAUGCAAGCUAAAAAAAAAAAAAAAAAAGGGUGCAACACUUGGCAGAAAACAAACUGGAUGUGAGUUUGGUUGAAUUUUGCUAAGGUGUGGAAGUGUCUUCUUCAGCAAUCCUGGUGUGUCAAGAUGCCUUCCUCCUCACCGAACUCAAACUGCCCAGUUGCAAUCCAAAGCUUAUUUACCAGGGAGUAAGAUUCCAUUGCACUAAGAAGGAAUUAAUUCUAAAUAAAAUGCUGAGUAGGCAUGUUGUAAAAUGUUCAAUAAAUCCUUUGAAUUUC